AUGGCUCCGGAGGUGCUGCGGAGUGAACCUUCAACUGAAAAGUCUGAUGUAUUCAGCUAUGGGGUGGUCCUAUGGGAGCUUGUUACUCAGAAGAUUCCCUGGGAUACUCGCAAUGCAAUGCAGGUUGUCGGAGCCGUGGGUUUCAUGGAUGACAGACUUGAAAUUCCAACGGACACGGAUCCUCAGUGGGCAUCGAUGAUCCAGAGUUGUUGGGACAGUGACCCGCAACACCGCCCUUCGUUCCAAGAACUCCUUGAGAGGCUCCAGGUGCUGCAAAAGCAGUACACUGUUGAAGCGCAAACGGAGCGAAAAAGGGCUGGGAAAGGUGCUGGAAAGAUGAGCGCCAAAGAUGAGAGCUAG
This 360-nucleotide ribosomal RNA is filed under the name Triticum aestivum (bread wheat). RNAcentral describes it as "partial small subunit ribosomal RNA". The record is from RNAcentral. Lineage: Eukaryota; Viridiplantae; Streptophyta; Magnoliopsida; Poales; Poaceae.